This 490-nucleotide ribosomal RNA is filed under the name uncultured bacterium. RNAcentral describes it as "partial 16S ribosomal RNA". It matches the Rfam family "Bacterial small subunit ribosomal RNA", at positions 30 to 507 of the family's 1533-position model. The record is from RNAcentral.
AUUGAACGCUGGCGGCAGGCCUAACACAUGCAAGUCGAACGGUAACAGAAAGCAGCUUGCUGCUUUGCUGACGAGUGGCGGACGGGUGAGUAAUGUCUGGGAAACUGCCUGAUGGAGGGGGAUAACUACUGGAAACGGUAGCUAAUACCGCAUAACGUCGCAAGACCAAAGAGGGGGACCUUCGGGCCUCUUGCCAUCGGAUGUGCCCAGAUGGGAUUAGCUAGUAGGUGGGGUAACGGCUCACCUAGGCGUCGAUCCCUAGCUGGUCUGAGAGGAUGACCAGCCACACUGGAACUGAGACACGGUCCAGACUCCUACGGGAGGCAGCAGUGGGGAAUAUUGCACAAUGGGCGCAAGCCUGAUGCAGCCAUGCCGCGUGUAUGAAGAAGGCCUUCGGGUUGUAAAGUACUUUCAGCGGGGAGGAAGGGAGUAAAGUUAAUACCUUUGCUCAUUGACGUUACCCGCAGAAGAAGCACCGGCUAACUCCGUG